RNAcentral lists this ribosomal RNA (726 nucleotides) under uncultured bacterium. RNAcentral describes it as "bacterial SSU rRNA". It matches the Rfam family "Bacterial small subunit ribosomal RNA", at positions 789 to 1515 of the family's 1533-position model. The record is from RNAcentral.
GGUAGUCCACGCCGUAAACGAUGUCGACUUGGAGGUUGUGCCCUUGAGGCGUGGCUUCCGGAGCUAACGCGUUAAGUCGACCGCCUGGGGAGUACGGCCGCAAGGUUAAAACUCAAAUGAAUUGACGGGGGCCCGCACAAGCGGUGGAGCAUGUGGUUUAAUUCGAUGCAACGCGAAGAACCUUACCUACUCUUGACAUCCAGAGAACUUAGCAGAGAUGCUUUGGUGCCUUCGGGAACUCUGAGACAGGUGCUGCAUGGCUGUCGUCAGCUCGUGUUGUGAAAUGUUGGGUUAAGUCCCGCAACGAGCGCAACCCUUAUCCUUUGUUGCCAGCGGUUAGGCCGGGAACUCAAAGGAGACUGCCAGUGAUAAACUGGAGGAAGGUGGGGAUGACGUCAAGUCAUCAUGGCCCUUACGAGUAGGGCUACACACGUGCUACAAUGGCGCAUACAAAGAGAAGCGACCUCGCGAGAGCAAGCGGACCUCAUAAAGUGCGUCGUAGUCCGGAUUGGAGUCUGCAACUCGACUCCAUAAAGUCGGAAUCGCUAGUAAUCGUAGAUCAGAAUGCUACGGUGAAUACGUUCCCGGGCCUUGUACACACCGCCCGUCACACCAUGGGAGUGGGUUGCAAAAGAAGUAGGUAGCUUAACCUUCGGGAGGGCGCUUACCACUUUGUGAUUCAUGACUGGGGUGAAGUCGUAACAAGGUAACCGUAGGGGAACCUGC